CUAGCUUGAAUACGCUGGUUGGCCGACGCGGGUCAAAGUGUAGCAUCUGUUCUUAUCAGCCUAAUAUCUGAUACGGGUUGUAUUUCGACCGAACAUAUUAAACUUAUUUUUUGAAGUUUUUGAGUGCUUGAAGCCUGCUUCACCUCCGCCGCUGGUCGGCCCGGUAUUGCACUAUCUUCGGAAUCGGCCCAUGGUUU
Molecule: small nuclear RNA, 197 nt
Organism: Dermacentor silvarum
Lineage: Eukaryota; Metazoa; Arthropoda; Arachnida; Ixodida; Ixodidae
Product: U2 spliceosomal RNA
Exons: 1
Source: RefSeq, a predicted model, not a curated record